This 841-nucleotide long non-coding RNA is filed under the name Nicotiana benthamiana. Its description in RNAcentral is "long non-coding RNA (NBEN_LNC039750)". The record is from RNAcentral. Lineage: Eukaryota; Viridiplantae; Streptophyta; Magnoliopsida; Solanales; Solanaceae.
UUGAUUACAAAUUCAUAUGGUAUCUAUUUCAAAUUGACCCAUCCAACAAGACUAUACCAACUCAAAACUUUCUAAAUAAAAUGAGAAAUCAAGCAUGAUGAACGAUUCCAAUCUGGAGGUUUCCACAUCUAAAAUAAGACUUGGAUUCAUUUGAAAGUACCAUUAGAAUGCUCAGAGCCCAUUACAUGAACAUAAGCAGUCAUACAAUCCAGAUCUAGACCUCAAACCAUACAAGGGCAAACUUAAACAAGAUUGAAAGGGAACAUAGCCUACACCAAAUUUGUUAGAACAAAGUCUAAAUUGACUUAUAUGGCAAACACAAUCCAACAAUCAAACAAUUGUUGCUAAUUUAAGUAAGGCCACACUCUAUAAUUAAUACACGUUAAGAGACCUAAACUGCUUUAAAUCAACUACAUUUAGACAAACUCAGAUCCAAGCCUCAAAACAAAAUGAAACACACAUAAGAAGCUAAACUAAAACCUAAAUAACAAUAGGGUAGAAUUUAACACAACAUUGAUUGAUAUUUUCAUUUGGCGCCAACUAGAUCAUAGAUAUUUAUAUAAAGCUCAAUUAGGUUUCAGUUCCAUCACAGUUUCAAGAGCAUACAUGGAAAUUGAAAAGGAAAAAGAGGUGAAGAUGCAGUGGAUAACAGCAAAACAAAAAGCACAGCAGUAUCAAUGCAACGGGGACCUUACAUCAGCUUGAAACCCAGACUUCUAAAAAACCAGAAUCAAAAUAGAUUUCAUAAAUCCAAAAUAAGUUUCAAAGACUGUCGACGAUUUUAAUGGAACAAUAAUUUAAUUUAUUACUAGCCGCCUAAGAUUUUUCUGGAAUGUUUUUC